GUGAUUUUAGGAAAAGUGGCCUUGGUGUCAGCUGGCCCUGAAUUUCAGUCUAGCGCGGAUGCAUUAGCUGUGCAGCCUUGAACACUUAACUUCUCUGAGCCAUGAUUUCCUUAUCUACAAAGUGGGGUUCAUCAUAUCUGUUUUUUAAUAGUCACUGGGAAGAUCAAAGGGGACAGCACACAUAAAACACAUUCGUCACACUUUUAUCUCUCGAGCUGGGCGGAGUGGUUGCAUUCGUUCUGUAAACAAUCACUGAUUGCUUAUCGCUAAGCAUUGUUCUGGGUUCUGGGGAAUUGGUAAUGAACAAAAAGUUUCUCCUAAAGCUCACAUUCUGACAGGGAAGCAAGUGGAUGAACCAAUACAUGAACAAACAGGAGAAUUUCAGAUCGCAGUCAGAGCUCCCAAGACAAGGACAGAGGCCGGCAUAGCAGGGGGUGAUUUAGUAGGAAGCCGAGGCAGCGUCAGACUGUGCAGUGACAUUGGAACCUGAAGACUGAGAGACUGUCUGCCUCGCCAGGACCUGGGGAAGGAAGAGCGUUCAACGCAGAGAAGACCGAAAGGACGCACGAGAUGUGCGGGGAAGGAUCCAGUUUAUCUUGAGCAGGCAAAGAAAAUGAAGGUCCGAUGAAAACUAUAUACCUAUUUUAUUUACAUUAAUGAAGCAAGAAGACAUAAAAUCACAAUGAUUUCUUCUUUUUGGUGGAUAAAUGAUCGAGAAAGGAAUGUUGAAGUCAGGAAGACUGAAAGAGUUUUGUCAAGAAACCAUAGCAGAAAGUGAUGGGAUUCUCUACCAUGGAGAAGCUCACUGAAUUCAAGAGGAAAGUUUCACUUGUUCAAAAAGAAAAAGAAAAUUCAUUCUGGGAACACCUUGAAAGAAAGAUUUUUGACUGUGGGCUGGUUGGCUUACCUGCCAGAUGUUUUUAACCAUGUGAAUGAGAUGACUCUUUCAGUUCAAGGCCCCGAUAUCAUCAUUAGGAUGCUUCUGGAAACAUUAUGAGCUUUCUUGGCUGGCAGGGAGCUGACAUCUUUGCAAACUUUCAAAUGCAGGGAGAGAAGCGCUUUACCUCAAAGGAGUUGAGUUACAAAAUGCUGUCAGUUUAUUUGAAAAGAGUAAUCUGGAACCACCUGGAAACACUUCAGAACUCUUGCAACAGUUGUUUCUAUCUUGAUAGUAACAAAAUUGAACCCUAGAAGGCAUUCUUUUUCUUACCGAUAUAAACUGUAUCAAUGGUGUUGACCUAGCCAGAGAUGAAUUUGUUGAUUGUAGGAACAAGAAACCACUGUAACUCAUUUCA
Molecule: long non-coding RNA, 1295 nt
Organism: Phacochoerus africanus (Common warthog)
Lineage: Eukaryota; Metazoa; Chordata; Mammalia; Artiodactyla; Suidae
Exons: 3
Source: RefSeq, a predicted model, not a curated record